CGGACGAUAGCUCAGCUUGGGAGAGCAGCGGCACAUGCCGUUGGCCACCGGUUCAAAUCCGGUUCGUCCAC
Molecule: transfer RNA, 71 nt
Filed under: Pseudoxanthomonas sp. 3HH-4
Lineage: Bacteria; Pseudomonadati; Pseudomonadota; Gammaproteobacteria; Lysobacterales; Lysobacteraceae
Description: tRNA-Arg
Rfam family: tRNA
About the family: Transfer RNA (tRNA) molecules are approximately 80 nucleotides in length. Their secondary structure includes four short double-helical elements and three loops (D, anti-codon, and T loops). Further hydrogen bonds mediate the characteristic L-shaped molecular structure. tRNAs have two regions of fundamental functional importance: the anti-codon, which is responsible for specific mRNA codon recognition, and the 3' end, to which the tRNAs corresponding amino acid is attached (by aminoacyl-tRNA synthetases). tRNAs cope with the degeneracy of the genetic code in two manners: having more than one tRNA (with a specific anti-codon) for a particular amino acid; and 'wobble' base-pairing, i.e. permitting non-standard base-pairing at the 3rd anti-codon position.
Source: RNAcentral